RNAcentral lists this long non-coding RNA (1487 nucleotides) under Triticum aestivum (bread wheat). RNAcentral's name for it is "long non-coding RNA (TAES_LNC002124)". Lineage: Eukaryota; Viridiplantae; Streptophyta; Magnoliopsida; Poales; Poaceae. The record is from RNAcentral.
CACGAACGUGCCCUAGCAGGUGCCAUCUCGAGGAAACCUGGUGCCGUCCCGACGACCUGCCCUAGAUCUGAUGUCCAUAACGUCCUCGACUCGCUGGCCGUCGUCUCGAGGACACCUCGGGCAAUCCCGACGCGCCGCCCUAGCUUCGUUGUCCACACCGUCCUCGCCCUAGUGGCCGCACCAUCUCAAGGCCAUUGGUCAACAUCGGAGUACUUCCAGCCUGCCACUGCAAGGUUAGAUCAUUUCAAUGUCCACAUCUUAUGAUGAGAAAGAAAAUACAGGAAAUUUCACCAUUACACUGCUGAUCUAUAAUUUGUUACCAUCAUGUGUGUACAAAUUUAAUACCUACAGGACACCAUGAUCUAUAAUGGGGUAGUGGGGUACGGACUUCAUUUCAGGACCGCAAACGAACAGCAAUUCAAGUAAAUAUAUAUAUCACCAACGUCUAACCUACUUAGACUUUGUAAAUCAUGAAGAUCUCAUUUCUCACAGGUCAAAAAGCAGAUCCAAAAAAAGUGAGGAGACAAAGGAAGAGGGAGAGGUAUGCACGAUAUUAAAAAGGAGACGUGAGGCAAGGGAUCAUAAGAAAACUACAUAUGCUAUUCCAAAUGGAAAGCGCAUUCCAUAACACCCGUGGGCAUACCGCCUGGUUUGUCCAUUUUCUCUAUUCUUUAUGAUACAUAUGAUGAAUCACAAGUAUAAUCAUAUUGAUGAUCCAUUAUUUCUGACAGAAGAUUUUCACACUGCAGAGAAGCCCACGGCGCACUCUGCUGUCACCCAGCUAUGAUACACACCAGCGGCGGAAGGUGAUGUUUUUCUAACCAAACAUAAUAGCUUCAUUUAUGUGUGAACAACUGACAUUGUACAGACAAUUGUGAUCCUGGCAUACCUGUUGAUGUGAUGAUGUCUGAUGAGACUCCAUUCCAUGGUCCAGAUUCAUUAAAAACACCCCACAGUGCCGUUUCUAACAAGGAAAAUGUCAAUAAUGUUGACUCUGGCAUUUAGUCUUCCCAUCGUACUGGGUUAUGAGCGCCACUUCAAGCCUAGAAUUGCAGCUUGUCAAAUGGUAAACUGUUGCUCGCAUGGCAUGAGCAAAAUAAAGAAGAAAAACAAUUGUUGCUCAUAUUGUGCAUCGGAGCUAAUUUGCGUCUAUAUCAUACAGAAGAAAAACAACUGUUGCACAUAUUGUAGCUAAUUCACACUUAUAUUUACAGAAGAAAAGCAAGCACUUCAGAGGGAGAGAGAUUUAUGAAUUUCAGUACAAUUGUUCUUGAUAACUAGAUCUGUUAUAGCAACUUGUUCUGACAUCAAAUGCAACACCUUUGACAUCGAUAAUUUGCUCAUGUCAUGGAUCUUUUUUACAUUGCAAUUCUUCAGAUUGUAUUAGUUCAGCACUAUUCUGUGCUGCAAUGGAGAUAUAGCUUAUAGACGAUCAAUAUAUCAGCCAUAGGACCACAAUGCUUUUCACAAAGCUGUGACAUUCUCUA